AUGGACGCCCACCGUAACCGCAGCUUCUUCUUCGUCGUCGUCGUUGCUGCCGCUGCGAUGUUCACCAUGAGCUUCGUGGGGUGUGCCGACGCCGUGAGGCCCAUGCCAUCGAGCCCGGCGUCCUCCACCACGGCGUCCGCGCUGGUGUCGUCGUUGAUGGAGAUGCUACCCAUGGGGCCCAGCGGAGGAGGCGCGGGGCACUGA
RNAcentral lists this ribosomal RNA (204 nucleotides) under Triticum aestivum (bread wheat). RNAcentral's name for it is "partial small subunit ribosomal RNA". The record is from RNAcentral. Lineage: Eukaryota; Viridiplantae; Streptophyta; Magnoliopsida; Poales; Poaceae.